Molecule: ribosomal RNA, 2100 nt
Filed under: human gut metagenome
Description: bacterial LSU rRNA
Rfam family: Bacterial large subunit ribosomal RNA
Source: RNAcentral
GCCGGGACCACCCGGUAAGGCUAAAUACUCCCAAGAGACCGAUAGUGAACCAGUACCGUGAGGGAAAGGUGAAAAGUACCCCGAACAGGGGAGUGAAAUAGAACCUGAAACCAUACGCUUACAACCGGUCGGAGCGGCUUCGUGCCGUGACGGCGUGCCUAUUGAAUAAUGAGCCUACGAGUUACUAAUCACUGGCGAGGUUAAGUGCUAGGAAGCACGGAGCCGAAGCGAAAGCGAGUCUGAACAGGGCGGCUAGUCAGUGGUUGUAGACGCGAAACCUUGCGAUCUACCCUUGAGCAGGAUGAAGGUUGGGUAACACCAACUGGAGGUCCGAACGAAUAAGCGUUGAAAAGCUUCUCGAUGACUUGAGGGUAGGGGUGAAAGGCUAAUCAAGCUGGGAAAUAGCUCGUACUCCCCGAAAUGCCUUUAGGGGCAGCGUUGUAAUAAAGAGUCUACUGGAGGUAGAGCUACUGAUUGGAUGCGGGGGCUUCACCGCCUACCAAAUCCUGACAAACUCCGAAUGCCAGUAGUAUGAUUUACAGCAGUGAGCGGCCGGGUGCUAAUGUCCGGUCACAAAAGAGGAACAACUCAGACCAGCAACUAAGGUCCCCAAGAAUAUGCUAAGUUGAUCUAACGAUGUUUUGUUGCAGAGACAGCUAGGAUGUUAGCUUGGAAGCAGCUAUUCAUUCAAAGAGUGCGUAACAGCUCACUAGUCGAGCGACAGAGCGUGGAUAAUAAACGGGCAUCAAGCAUAUCACCGAAGUUCUGGACGCGAAAGCGUGGUAGGGGAGCAUUCCAUCGACGUUGAAGCCGAUUCGUGAGGAUUGGUGGAGUUUAUGGAAAAGCAAAUGUAGGCAUAAGUAACGAUAAUGCGGGAGAGUAACCCGCACACCGCAAGACCAAGGUUUCCUGAUCAACGCUAAUCGGAUCAGGGUUAGUCGGGUCCUAAGGGUAAGCCGAACGGUGAUCUCGAUGGACAAUCGGUUAAUAUUCCGAUACUAACAUACACCUCGAUGGAGAGACGAAGGAACGUAAGUGUCGCCGCCUGACGGAAUAGGUGGUUAAAGGGCGUAGGUAAAGGAGCAGAUUAAGAGUUAGCUCCUGCUGAAACCCGACAGUACGGAGCGGCUACGGCCAAUCCGAUAGUGCACCCAAGUAGACUUCCGAGAAAAUCUUCUAAGUUAUAGUGUAUGUUACCCGUACCGUAAACCGACACAGGUGGUCGAGGAGAGUAUCCUAAGGUGCUCGAGUGAAUCACGGUUAAGGAACUAGGCAAAUUAACCCCGUAACUUCGGGAAAAGGGGUCCCUAUGAAAGUAGGGCGCAGCGAAAAGGUCCAGGCGACUGUUUAUCAAAAACACAGGGCUCUGCAAAUUCGAAAGAAGACGUAUAGGGCCUGACACCUGCCCGGUGCUGGAAGGUUAAGAGGGGAUGUCAUCGCAAGAGAAGCAUUGAAUCGAAGCCCCAGUAAACGGCGGCCGUAACUAUAACGGUCCUAAGGUAGCGAAAUUCCUUGUCGGGUAAGUUCCGACCUGCACGAAUGGUGUAACGAUCUGGACACUGUCUCAACCGUGAGCUCGGUGAAAUUGUAGUCCCGGUGAAGAUGCCGGGUACCCGCGACGGGACGAAAAGACCCCGUGAACCUUUACUAUAGCUUAACGCUGAAUUUGGGUACACAAUGUGUAGGAUAGGCCGGAGGCAUUGAGACGGGCACGCCAGUGUUCGUGGAGCCGACGUUGAAAUACGGCCCUUUGUGUACUUGGAUUCUAACCCCUCGAGGGGGACACCGUUUGGUGGGUAGUUUGACUGGGGUGGUCGCCUCCAAAAGCGUAACGGAGGCUUCCCAAGGUGCCCUCAGCACGAAUGGUAACCGUGCGCAGAGUGCAAUAGCAUAAGGGCGCUUGACUGUGAGACCGACAAGUCGAGCAGGUACGAAAGUAGGGUAUAGUGAUCCGGUGGUUCUGUGUGGACUGGCCAUCGCUCAAAGGAUAAAAGGUACUCCGGGGAUAACAGGCUGAUCGCCGCCAAGAGCUCAUAUCGACGCGGCGGUUUGGCACCUCGAUGUCGGCUCGUCACAUCCUGGGGCUGGAGAAGGUCCCAA